GAAAAUUUCGGAUGUCAUUCCGGUAGAUCGAACAGUGAAAGUAGCAUCACUGUUGAGAGAACGGUCGAUUAGUGGCCAAGUCUGAGCACGUGGGCCUAGUAGUACCUCAAGGUGAGGUAGGCGGUUGUGCUCGUGCGGCCGGUAUGCAUAGGCAAGAUUGCCUAAUGCUGGACUUCGUGUGGAACAUUGUAGAGGCGUAGAGCGCUCGAGUGUAGAGACCCGUAGAGUGCGGAUGUGGAUUCAGCCGAGAGAGUGUAUUGGCAGUAGCACUUGAGCAUUGCUAGGUGCGAAGCGUGCCAUGGAUCACUCGUGGGACUGGUGACUCGCACUAGGUGCAUAGGAGCCGAUAUUGGUUGGCGUUGACUCCGGAGAGUAUGUCCGUGUAGGACGACGACGACGCAGUGGGUAGUGUUUCGGGAAACGACUCCGUGCUGGACUGCAUUUGUGGAACUGUGGAGGCCUGGGCGCUUUGGCAGGCGCAGUCAGCUGUGAGUGAAGCGCCGAUACCUACGGGUAAAGGCAGAGUCUGGUCAGGAACGGUAGUCGAGUUUAGGCCCGGAGCGUAGCAAUGCCACGUAAUAAGAUUGUGUGACCGAAUUAACAACCGAGUAUUGUUAGUGACCCCAAAACCUCGAGGCACUUGACGUGGUUUGGUCUUAGUUGCCCUCGAUUGGAGUGUGUGCGAAUUCCCAGAGAAUUUGCGCCGACAUGAUUGGUCUGCUAUUUGCGAAGCCUGAGAUACGCUGCGUAUGAGAUCAAGGUUAUAGUGAUUUGGUCUACUGCCCUACUGUAGGCUUGGUGGCCUUUGUCCAACCUGUGGAGACCAAAGAAGCGAUCUUGGUAGAUUACCUUAUCAAAGUAAUUUUGCUUGGAUUCACGAAACGAAGCGCUCGCGUGGAUGCUCGUGCGCAAAGUAGUUCGAUGUUGACCGUACGCGCAUAUGGGUAUCAGAAGAUGAACGUGGCUCUUGGUGAGACCUUGUGCGAGUAGUAAGCCACGUGGACUCGUGAUAUAUAUGGGGAUGUGCUAAGUAUCACGGCAUCCUCACACUUAACUACGUUUAGUGGUCAGUGCCAAAUUAAGAGCACUCCCGACGAUGAUGCUAUCGGGUGAAUAUUGCUUCUAACAAUGUUCGGUGACAAUUGGGAAUGUAUUUCCCAAAAGGGAAGGCCCAGUGCAAAGAAGAGUAUCUUUGUGUAAACGAUAGCCGAGUGGUGUUUGGAGCGCGUGAGCUGUCGAGUACGACUUCGCGCUGCUAUUAUGACUUGCAAACUCGCUGAGCACUUUUGUAUCAACACUUUGCAAAUAGUGUAGGAUAAUACCCACAGGUCCUCCAAUAUCGAGAGACUCGCUUGCUGGAACCGACGUAUAGUGUGAAGCCCUUUGGAGGUGGGAGAAUGAAGUUAAGUGACCUCACAAUUGCUCAUGGAGCUAAUUGAGCGUGAUUUGAAUUUCGCUGACGAAAUUCAUUUAAGGGGUGGAGAAUGUAACAUACAGAUUUUGGUAUAAAAUAAAAAUAAAAUAAAAUAGUGUGAGUAAUAUUUAUUGAUUGUAGGAAUUAAACAUAAGUCAGAAAUAUUUGCUGAAAUCCGAAAAUGAAAUAGAAAUCUAGUAAUUUCUGUUGAAACGACAGAUAAAUUAGCAAGAAAAUGCACAGUCUCAGAAAAUUAUGAAAAUUGGUGAAUAAGUCAGAAAAUAUUUGUAUAUGAGCCUAAUUUAAAGUUUCAUAUUUUUCUGACAACCGUAGAGUGAGAAAUAAAACGCGACAGCUAUCUGUAAAGGAUUACAGUUCGUACACGUUUUCAAAGUGACCAGAACGGGUCGAACUGAAACAAAAUAUAUUCUACCUCAGUACACGUAACUGAGCCUGCCGUCAAAUUUGAGCUCAAAAAAAAUGACAUUCAGAAGAGCUCCAACUGUUUGAACUGCAAAAAAUUACCUGAAGUGAUAGGAUUUUGGGGUGUAAUGGUAUAUAAGACAGCAUGAUGCUUCUUCUUCCUCCUACAGCCGUGCACACGCCCCACACACAGUCGUUGCCGCAACGCACACAUGGAGAGAGAAGAGAACUCUCCUUUCUCUGCCUAGAGAUGCCUUCAUGUCUCUCUAAAUAUAUGCUCGGCUCAAUUAAUAUUCGCGGGGUUAGUGAGAAGAUGCGCGAACAAAGCGUUGGAGGCGACGGAUUAAGCUUUCGUACGCGCCCCUUGGAGGUGGCGUGUUUUCGUCCGCGGCGUUGCACAAUGGAGGUAAGCUUUUUAGAAUUUGGCUUAAUCCUUAUUCUAAAGUGUUCUAAUAGCCUCUAAUAGCAUUCUAAACAUGUCUCUCUCCUUAUUAAUUUGCGUUAUAUUAGAGAAUUUAAUUGCAUGUUAGGGCUCCGAAAUGGGAGUUUUGUAAAAUAUAUGGGUUUGAUCUCAUUUGAACCCUUCGUAACCAAAUUGAUAAAGCGUAACAACCGUUGGCGAAGACGCGUUCGGCAAUCCCGACUUAGGCCGUUACAAAAGUAUUAAAAAUGAUUUUACGGCCUUUCGGGUCCGCCGGGAGGCGCGAGGCGGACGUUCGUCAAAAAUCUGGAAAUGGAUUUGAGGUUAUCCGUGGACGGCAUAACCGAAACUAUAUUUUCGGGGGUGCGAAGCGGAGUCACGAUGAGGCGGGACAGUUGCAGACAUAUCCGGCCGUGCCGACUAACGGGUGCCGCGGGCGGGGCGGGCGGCGAGGGAGCGGCGGCCGGGGGGGGAGGGCGGCGGGGGCCGAUCUGCAAGUGUCGAAACAAUCGGACUGCGAAAUGAGGUGUGUUUAGCUUACACAUCGACUAGGUCGCCCUUUAUGUCUGAGAAAUGAGAUUUGAUAUUGAUGCAUAUUGACAUAAUAUAAAGAUGUAAAAAGAAUGCAUGUUAACAUACUAAGAAAUGCUAGAAUAAAUGAAUAUAUUAAAUGCUAUGAAUGGCAUAAUAUACAAAGGGCGUGAAAUGUUAACAUUAUCAAAACAUCGUAAAAGGAAUGUAUAUGACAUUUGUAGAGAUGCUAAAUGUAAUGCAUAAUGAAUUAAGUGGCUAAAAGAAUGCUGCAGAUGCUAAGUAUGGACCAUUAUUUUGGAUAAUGACUCAUAUUAAUGUUGACAAAUCAGUGAUGCUAUGGUAUAGUGUGCAAUGAUGAUAUAAUUAAUUACAUAUUGUGGAUUAUCUCUAAAUGAAAAAACAUAUCACUUUUUUGUUGAUGAAAUAUUGCCAUUUGUCGGAACAUAGUGACAAUCUACAUAUAUAUAUAUCGAGUGGCAAUUAAACCUAGCAAACAACUUGUGUGCGAUCAUGUAUAAUUCUGGUGUCAUUCAUGUAUGUUUUAGGAUCCUAUUAUUGUGUAAAUGAUGAAGAUUCGGGACUUGAACAUUAGUAAACAAGGGUACAGUGACAAAUAGAAGUACAUGAUGCACAAAAGUGAUUGUUAAACAUAGUUUAAACCAAUAUGACAAUUGGUCCAAGUUGCAUAGAGAGUGCAUGAUUAAAUAGGUAGAGACCUACAUCGACAUUGGCAUUGUGACGAGUGGUCUAAUGAACCUCAAAUAGCUGAGGAUUGGAUCGAUACUCCACGUUACGUCUUGGCUUGAGGGGAGGUAGCUCCCCCUCGGCGCUGCGCUCCGCGGCAGUUGGUCACUACUGGGCGUCGGUAGAAGUCCCCCCCACGAUGGACGUCCCUUCAGGGAGGUCGAGUCCCCUGUUAAUUAAGGGGAUUUUGGUAGUGAGUUACUUGGGUUAUCAUGGUUAAUCCGGUAAAUUGGUCAUUAGCCAAAUUGAGAUGGUACAACCAAGUAUGCAUAUGAUAUGGAUUUGGUAUCCUAGUGAGUAGGGAUUAGCUGAGGUGUAUGUGAGACGUCUCAAUGCCCUCGACCUUGGUUCUAAGCUGCGGUACUCGCAGACGGAUUGACUCAAGACCGGUCGGUGUAGCCUUGUAAGGUAGAUGACAACUUUAAUGAUUAAAACGGUGAUUCACAAGAAUCUAAGAUAAGAGGAAACUUAGAUAUGAAUGGAUGACUACUGUUAACAAUAAUUGAAAGUAGUGUCUAAAGAACUACUUAAGUUUGUUUGCAUAGUUGGCAUUACUUGGCAUGAUUUGCAUAAGCAUUGCAUAUAUUGCAUUUCGUGUACACAUGGUUUAUUAAGUUGCAUAAUAAAGAUAUAUAUCUAUCUGUUUAUUGAACUAACUUGCAGUUGCCGUCCCUUGGACGUUAUUGGUCGAUAGCUUUUUCCUUGGGUGUUGAUACCCACUUGGAACCAUGGAGUUGGUUCUCACCCCACUGUUUUGGGGUGUUAACAGGUUUCGCCUGUGAGCGCGGGCCGGCGCAGGCGAGGGCGUAGCAUUAUAGUUAGCGGCCCACCACCGAGACCAAGAGAUAUGCGGAUACCUUCUGAGUCGGCCUUACUUUAGGGAUGAUCAGAAAAUGAAGGAAUAAAAUUGUAUAUAAUUUGUAUAAUCUAUGUUAAGACCGGAUUGUAUUUGGAAGAUAAUAAAAGCUAGUUGUAAGAUUUCAAAUGAGAAUUGUGAUGUAAAAAUCAUGAAACUGAAUGAAGAAUGAAUAAAUAUAGGAUGUGUUUAUGUUGUUUGAUACUUCCAUUAAUGCAUCUUGAUUGAAAUGGUCCUGGUUGAACUUCGCACAUCAUGUAUGAUUGCUAUGCUUGAACGUACAGGAGAGAUGCUGUCCCAGUACACGGGGAAACUGUCGUCUCGCACGCCGAUCUGUUGGCGGCGCCGCGACCCGGCCAAUAGGCGUGGUCCGGCGGCGUGAAAUUGAGUGAUCAAGACGGAAAUGAACGAAGAGCGAAUAAUUCCUGCCGACGACUCUGAGGAGGACGAGCCGGAUGGACACUUUUGUUCCGCGAGAGGUAUUGCUAGGAAAAGGAUACAUGGAAAGGCAAGGAAAAGAACCCUGGAAUAAGGCAAAGGAAAGCGGCUGAGCCGUCCGGUCGCCGCAACGUCUUGAAGGUGUUGAAAUCUCGAGAACCAGGUUCUGAGCUCACCCACGUCACAGUCUACAGAGUUUACCAUCUGCGCGGUCAAAAUGACUCAGUCGAAACAUUUCCCUGCAUUUGGUGAGCGAGAUGUUGGGUGCCAGUAUCAUUAGCUGUGUGCCGAGCUUUCAGAAUUUAUUUGAACAGCGGAAAAUCCUUCAUCAGAUUUGUGAUUCCCAAUGCAAACACGGUUUUGUUUGGAGUUGAUCAGAAAUUAUAGUGAAGGUCAGGUCACCUAAUGUGACUCCGCACGGUCGGCCCUACGUAUUUAAAGACUUCCGUACGUGGUGUUGAGUUAUCCAUCACUCCGAUACAUACUACGGUGCUAGGUAUCGAAGUCUAAGAUGACGAGUGAGUAUCUACAAGCUGGGAUUCGACGCACUUCGCGAUUGAUAUCGUUGUAGUGAACACUAUUGCAUGCCGGGGUAAACUGAGUCAAAUCGCAAUUAUGUUAUUCCAAGAUUUCAAAUAUGAGUACCGUUUUCUUAACCUUCGUGGUUUGCUACAACAUUCUGCCUCUCGCAAACACGAAGAUUCUGAGGUGGGAUCGUAUUCUGUAUAUGUAUCUCUUGGGAAGGCCAGAUAUUGUGAGUGCAAAAAAUAUUAACAUGAAUAUUCCGUUUCUGAUCUGGCGGAGGAUGGCAAAAGACAUCAAAACUUCUGGACAAAAUGAAAGGCUGCCAUUUCCAUUGAUAAUCAUGAGGAUUCUGCGACUUCGUGAUGUGGAUUUCCGGUGUACAUCUUAUGAGCAUAGUUUGGGUCGUAUAAAUGAACGGACAUUUGUGAAGUCCUCGGUGCAGCUUCGUACACCGUCUCAGCGUGCUUCUUCCCCUCAUGCUGCUCCACCUCCUGCUACUGCUACUUCUUCAGGUCCUUCUAUGGACAUUUCCGAGGAAGAUAUCUCCGUUUCCUCUGUGUAUCGUGAGCAACAACGUCUAUCUGAGGAGCUUCAGAAAUUGUCUACGGAGCAAGCUGCGAUUCGGAAGGAUGUGAGCAAGAUGAAGUGCUUAUUGAAUAUGAUUUUUGACAAGUUAGGAUGUUGCCGAGCAGAUUUACCUCUAGGGGAUGCUUCCGAUUAGGAGUUACCAGGUUCCUUCUUUUAUCAUUUUGGCGCUUUCUGACAAAAAGGGAGAGAUGGAGAUGGUGGUGGUUCUUGAUGGUCUUGAUGAUGAUGACGCAUGCAUUUUGCUUAGAUGAUGCAUAUGGUGGUGGUUCUUGAUGGUCUUGAUGAUGAUGACGCAUGCAUUUUGCUUAGAUGAUGCAUUUAGCUUAGCUUUGCUUAGUUAUUUUAGUCUUGAUGAUGAUGACGCAUGCAUUUUGCUUAGAUGAUGCAUUCAGCUUAGCUUUGCUUUUUAGUUGUGUAAAUUUGACUUGUGCUUGACUAUGAACUUUGACUUGCUGAACUAUGACUUGUUACUUUAUGAUAAGUUUACUUGAAUCUUCAUUAUGUUUUAAGAAUGUUUUUGCAGGAAUAAUUCAAGACUUCAAGACUCUAUGUCUAAGUCAUAGAGUUUGUAUUAAGGUUGGAAAAGUGUAAAUUUCGUUUAUUGGAUUGAUCAUGCAGGAGAUUAUCGUUUGGUGAUUGCGAUGAUCUUCUUUUUAUUAUUUAUUAGUUGUGUACGAACUUUGUAAUAUAUUUUGUCACGAAAUCGCCAAAGGGGGAGAUUGUUAAGGAUUUUAUAGGUUGGCGGAUUUCGUAAUGUUGAAUGGAGUCUUGAAGAGUUGAUUGCAGAAGAUUGAAGAAAAGAUCUAAAUUGAAGGAAAAAGACUCACUCGUAAAGUUCGGCACCUAAGGUAUGAAGAAAAGAUCAUUUGUGAUGAAGAUAUUUGAUUAGAAUAAGUUCAGAAGGCUUAGAUUGCUUUAAAAAUACUUUACUGAACUUUUCUGUGUUCAGGGACCGGUCCCUGAGGUCAAGAGACCGGUUCCCCUAAGGUCCUCACUGCGUGAGCUUUGAUGCAACCGGUCCCCUGAGAUGAGAGACCGGUUCCCGAACCUUGGUAUUUCUGUCGCGCAGCGAGGGACCGGUCUCAAGCUUGAGAGACCGGUUCCCGAACGUUGUGAUUUUGGUCACGCAGUGAGGGACCGGUUCCUCACUUGAGAGACCGGUCUCUCACAGACCGGUCUCCUCGAGAAGACCGGUCUCUGAGGACGACACAGGUUUUUAAAAAGGACUUUUUGCAAUCCUAGUCUACUUCUAAGUCUUCUAAACAUAUAAAUAAGCUAUGUGGGUCAUCUAAAAGUUUAAGGCUUUGAAUAUUUACUGAUUCUAAACCCUAGAAACUUUUUUUUUUCCGUUUCAAUGCUUUGAUUCACAUAACGAGUUUCUAACAAUCAACAAUCGGCUUGAUUCUUCGUUUUUACUCGAUAACUCAUACGAGAAUCAAGUAGAUUUUUGAUUAAAGGUGAACCCUCAUAGCUUAUGGUAUUCAAAGGUUAAAUCAUCACAAAUCUUCGAUUCUACAAGCUCCGGAAGGAGGUUCGACGCGUGGAUCUCGCGUGAAGCCGAGGAUUCGGUGGACGCUUCGAGGAAUUGAGGCGUUAAUGCUGCGAGGAGUUGCAGCAAGGUCGAUUGGUGGAUUCCUAUCGAUCGAGGACCGGCGAAGAUCACCAUCAACAAGAAAUCGGUAAAUUGAGUCGUGUAUUUUUGUCAAAAUCACUUGUACUCAAGUUUUCUUAGUGGAUUUUCUUCACGUGAUCGGUCCCGUGGGUUUUUCACUCCGAAUUGGAGUUUUUCCACGUUAAAUUUUCGGUGUGCUAUUUUAUUUUUCGCUACUUUGUUUUAUUUGCAUCGAGAUUUUCGAGUUUACAGUAUCUACACCUAUUCACCCCCCUCUAGGUGUUACUUACCUUUUAGAACCUCGGGAUCCAUAUCUUUCACUGGGGAGACUCUGUCCGUAUACAAAGGAAUCCCCGGUCUGUUCGGCGGUCUGUCGGCGGCGCCGCGACCCGGUCCAAAUAGGCGGUUGGUCGCGGGGCGUGACAGAUAAGAUGGUAUCAGAGCAUAAAAUAGAAAAUGGAAAAAAAUGGUUUAGACAGACCUAGGAGACCCUAGGAUAGUGAAACCAUAGGAGAAUAAGGCUCGUGAGAGACGAGGACUUGUGAUUCGUGGCGAAAGGAUUAUGGAUUGGGUUGUGUCAUAACCUCUAAGACGGAUAUUAGAGGUAGAUUCAAGAUAUGGUUUAUUCUUGACCAAGUGUGUUUAUGUUGGGCGCGCACAACAUAAAGCCGAGUGACGAGAAUAGACGUCCUUGUUUGACUUUCGCCUGAUUGGCUUUUGAGCCGGUGCUAGUGGUCUCGUGUUCGACCCAGAGGGUCGAGGACUAAUUGAGUUGUCCUAUUUCAGGAAACGAUGGCACCGCGUAGACGACCUUCAUCCAGAUCGGCGCAGGAGGGGACAAGUGGCGUCCUGAGCAAAUCGACGGCAGCGGAGACUCGGAGCUUCGCGAUCAGUUGGCCACACUCAUUGGAGUGAUGCGGCAACAAGCUGAUGUGGUGCAGCGGCAGCAGGAGGCUGCUAUGCGCCAAGAGGAGCGAAUGGAACGACUCCAAGAGACUGUGGACCGGCUGGUGGCAGCACCAGCUGCGGCUGGUCGAGGACAGCCGGGAGUUGCGGCGGAGCUGUUUCCGUCGGGGUCGGGCGAUCCGACUCCUGUUGGCCCAGAGGUUGCGGCGGAGAGGGAGCGAGCUUUAGCGGCCCUCAUGACUUUCAAGAAGUUUGAUCCGCCUACCUUUGAUGGUGAAGAUGCAGAUCCGUGGGUCGUUGAGAUGUGGAUCGAUUCCAUGGAAACACUCUUCGAGGAUCUGUACACGCUGGAGCGAGACAAAGUGAACCUAGCCGCGCAUUACCUGAAACAAUCGGCGAAGGUGUGGUGGAAAGGCGUCAAGCGAGAUCGACUGCCUAGUCUCCCUCCUAUGACUUGGGAAGAGUUUCGGGGAAUGUUGUUCUCUGCUUAUUUCCCCGAUAGCGAGAAGCGGAAACUUCAGGAGAGGUUUCUUAAGCUGCGGCAAGGAAGUCGCACGGUCAGGCAAUACGAGCGAGAAUUUUCCCGUAUUGUGCAUUGUGUUCCAAACGUGGUGCGGGAUGACAAGGACAAGGCCGACUGCUUUGUGCGUGGACUUCGGCCAGACCUGUACCAGACGGUGCUUGUGCUAAAGUUGCAGACUUUUGCUGAAGUCCUGGAUCGGGCCUUGUGGAUAGAACAAGGCAAUGCAUUCCUGCGGGAGAAGCGUGAGGAACACUACAAGGAAAAAGGGAAAGGACGGCCAGUGAGCGGACACGAUGGUCAAUCAAGUUGCCAACAGACCUCAGUGAGGACGCGCUCUCGAUCUAGAGCUCCGGGGACGUAUCAUAUUCGGUCCUCGGCGAGAUGUGCAAUUUGUGGAGGCCCUCAUUUUCCACAGCAAUGUGAACAGCGAGAGGGCAAGUGCUUCAAGUGUGGGCUGCCGGGCCAUGUGCGGGACGAGUGUCCACAAGGUGGUAACCGGGCCUUGACACUGGCGACGGCCCAUUCCUCCUUGGGACAGCCGGCGGGUGUGCCACCUGCGGCAUGGUCGGGGGAGCGGCCGUUGAGAGUGAUGCAACCAGAGGGUCGAGGACUAAUUGAGUUGUCCUAUUUCAGGAAACGAUGGCACCGCGUAGACGACCUUCAUCCAGAUCGGCGCAGGAGGGGACAAGUGGCGUCCUGAGCAAAUCGACGGCAGCGGAGACUCGGAGCUUCGCGAUCAGUUGGCCACACUCAUUGGAGUGAUGCGGCAACAAGCUGAUGUGGUGCAGCGGCAGUAGGAGGCUGCUAUGCGCCAAGAGGAGCGAAUGGAACGACUCCAAGAGACUGUGGACCGGCUCGUGGCAGCACCAGCUGCGGCUGGUCGAGGACAGCCGGGAGUUGCGGCGGGGCUGUUUCCGUCGGGAUCGGGCGAUCCGACUCCUGUUGGCCCAGAGGUUGCGGCGGAGAGGGAGCGAGCUUUGGCUGCCCUCAUAACUUUCAAGAAGUUUGAUCCGCCUACCUUUGAUGGUGAAGAUGCAGAUCCGUGGGUCGUUGAGAUGUGGAUCGAUUCCAUAGAAACACUCUUGAGGAUCUGUACACGCUGGAGCGAGACAAAGUGAACCUAGCCACGCAUUACCUGAAACAAUCGGCGAAGGUGUGAUGGAAAGGCGUCAAGCGAGAUCGACCGCCUAGUCUCCCUCCUGUGUCAUGGGAAGAGUUUCGGGGAAUGUUGUUCUCGACAUAUUUCCCCGAUAGCGAGAAGCGGAAACUUCAGGAGAGGUUUCUUAAGCUGAAGCAAGGAAGUCGCACGGUCAGGCAAUACGAGCAGGAAUUUUUCCGUAUUGUGCAUUGUGUCCCGAACGUGGUGCGGGAUGACAAGGACAAGGCCGACUACUUUGUGCGUGGACUUCGGCUAGACCUGUAUCAGACGGUGCUUGUGCUUAAGUUGCAGACUUUUGCUGAAGUCCUGGAUCGGGCCUUGUGGAUAGAACAAGGCAAUGCUUUCCUGCGGGAGAAGCGUGAGGAACACUACAGGGAAAAAGGGAAAGAACGGCCAGUGAGUGGACACGAUGGUCAGUCAAGUUCCGAACAGACCUCAGUGAGGACGCGCUCUCGAUCUAGAGCUCCGGGGACGUAUCACAUUCGGUCCUCGGCGAGAUGUGCAAUUUGUGGAGGCCCUCAUUUUCCACAGCAAUGUGAACAGCGAGAGGGCAAGUGCUUCAAGUGUGGGCUGCCGGGCCAUGUGCGGGACGAGUGUCCACAGGGUGAUAACUGGGCCUUGACACUGGCGACGGCCCAUUCCUCUUUGGGACAGCCGGCGGGUGUGCCACCUGCGGCAUAGUCGGGGGAACAGCCGUUGAGAAUGAUGCAACCAGAGGGUUCGCGACGGGCGCCAGGUGGCCAUGGAUAAGCGACCCGAGCUGUUGUGCCUGCCGUUGCUGACUACGUCGUGGCAGGUAUGAGUUAAUUGAGCAAUCAUAUUUUGCAUAGCCUCAAGUUGGUGUAUAGCAUGCUUUCAGCAUUAGUCAGUUGCUACUACUAUUACAUUGCAUAGUAGGGACCGAGAGGUCGGGUAAGUAGGCACCCAAGCAUGCUAACAGGUUGAGAGCCGAUGGUACUAGCAAAUGGCUAGUGGUGAUGUUGGACAGGAAACGAGGCUCUUAAUGGAAACCGAGUGGUGAAAAGACUCUCAAAACGAUGAGUUAGAAAUUUCGAGAGUCGGGCCUUGAUGUUUGGGAACGCCCGAAUAUCCCAAAGGUAUUUCGAAUGCGGAUUCGGUAGAUCGAACGGUGGAGGUGAACCACUGUCGCGAAAUUGGUCGGAUAGUGCCGAGUUUGGCCUGUGGGCCUAAUAGUAUCUCGAGUUGAGGUGGACGAGUUGUGCCCGAGUGGCAGGUGUGCAUAGGCUAAAUUGCCUGAUGCCAGGCUUCGUGUAAGACGCUGUAGAGGUAUAAAGCGC
RNAcentral lists this long non-coding RNA (11441 nucleotides) under Ananas comosus (pineapple). RNAcentral describes it as "long non-coding RNA (ACOM_LNC038262)". The record is from RNAcentral. Lineage: Eukaryota; Viridiplantae; Streptophyta; Magnoliopsida; Poales; Bromeliaceae.